GAAAGCUGCCCGGAAGGGAGACAGAUGCACAAGUGUGAAGAAUGGCCAGAGCGGCCAGCAAGCCAUAUUAGAAUUCCCCAGAAAAGAAUACUGUCUCUCGGCUCUUGGGAGAUAAAGCUGUAUCCUCAGUGGAAAAGAGGACUCAAAAAAGACGUGGGCUUUGCUGUGACCACUAUUGUUGAAAAUCCAAGAGAAGUUAUUUUAGGUAAGACUCUUAACUGAAUUAGUCUCAGUGUUCAGAAUAAACACUCAGUUGCCUCCAGAAGUGACUAGCAUGACAGAAGUUUGGGGAUGAAUACAGAGGGGUGGGAAAGAUGUAGAGGAAACAAAUUAUGAGUGAGAGUCCAUAACCACGUUUCACAGGUGGAUCAAAUUAAAAAGUAAAAAAGCAACUCCAAACAACUUUUUCACAGAAGACAAAGAAAAAGAAAAAAAGAAAAGAACAAAAGAGAUAAGGUCAUAGAGGCACCAAGUGGUGAAGCAUCAGGGUACAGGCUCCCAAGAGAGGGUUUGCUCCCUCUACUGGAGCAUCCUGAUGGACCCACAAAAAGACUUGCUAGUUUGACCCGCUUCAAAUUCACAUUAAAUCUCUUGGAUUAGGAAAUAAAGAUUAAUGCAGUAUUGACAACCAUUGCUGGCUUACUAUCGCAAGGAUUUGUUAAAGAACUAAGUACUUGAAUAUGCCGAUGAACGCAGAAGGGAGAACUAUUUCAUUGCUUUUGUUUUGAAAAGAAACUAAAUAAAGCAUACAAGUUGAAACCUCUAUUUUCCAAAUCAUAUCAGUUCAGUCAAACUGGAAUACAGGAGACGAAAGAAGAACUUUUCCCUAUCUUAUGUAAUGCAGAAGCACAACUCUUGCUAUAUGACCUUUGCUCUAGGACAGAUUGCUCACCAUCAUUCCUAAACCACAUAUAGAGAAAACCACCUGCCUUCUUGAAUUGUAUGUUCUUUUUGAGUGCAGCUUGGCCUUAGAUACUUUGGCUUAUGAAUAAAUAGCCUAUUCCUACAGCAGAUAGGGAGUAAAUAACUUCUAAAGUAUUUUCAGAGAAAUACAAUCUCACCACUUAGUUAUUUAGUGUCCGUGUUGGAUAAUGUAAGUCAUAGUAGCAUGAUGGAUAAACACACUAAGAAACCAUGACUCAGACUCUGACACAGACCUAUUCUUAUUUG
RNAcentral lists this long non-coding RNA (1170 nucleotides) under Amazona collaria (yellow-billed parrot). RNAcentral's name for it is "lncRNA (ENSACOG00000007197.1)". The record is from RNAcentral. Lineage: Eukaryota; Metazoa; Chordata; Aves; Psittaciformes; Psittacidae.